UUAAACAUGAACCUUAUGGGACAUGUGCUUUUAUUAGGCUAAAACCAAGCGAUCGCAAGAUCGUUAUACUGGUUGAACUCUAGAUAACAUGCAGAUCGUAUGGUCUUGUACCGACGACAGAUCUUUCAAAUGUCUGCCCUAUCAACUUUUGAUGGUAGUAUCUAGGACUACCAUGGUUGCAACGGGUAACGGGGAAUCAGGGUUCGAUUCUGGAGAGGGAGCCUGAGAAACGGCUACCACAUCUAAGGAAGGCAGCAGGCGCGUAAAUUACCCACUCCCAGCUCGGGGAGGUAGUGACGAAAAAUAACAAUACAGGGACCAAUUGGAGGGCAAGUCUGGUGCCAGCAGCCGCGGUAAUUCCAGCUCCAAUAGCGUAUAUUAAAGUUGUUGCGGUUAAAACGUUCGUAGUUGAACUUGUGCUUCAUACGGGUAGUACAACUUACAAUUGUGGUUAGUACUAUACCUUUAUGUAUGUAAGCGUAUUACCGGUGGAGUUCUUAUAUAUGUUUAAAUACUUGUAUUUUUUUCAUAUGUUCCUCCUAUUUAAAAACCUGCAUUAGUGCUCUUAAACGAGUGUUAUUGUGGGCCGGUACAAUUACUUUGAACAAAUUAGAGUGCUUAAAGCAGGCUUCAAAUGCCUGAAUAUUCUGUGCAUGGGAUAAUGAAAUAAGACCUCUGUUCUGCUUUCAUUGGUUUUCAGAUCAAGAGGUAAUGAUUAAUAGAAGCAGUUUGGGAGCAUUAGUAUUACGACGCGAGAGGUGAAAUUCUUGGACCGUCGUAAGACUAACUUAAGCGAAAGCAUUUGCCAAAGAUGUUUUCAUUAAUCAAGAACGAAAGUUAGAGGUUCGAAGGCGAUCAGAUACCGCCCUAGUUCUAACCAUAAACGAUGCCAGCUAGCAAUUGGGUGUAGCUACUUUUAUGGCUCUCUCAGUCGCUUCCCGGGAAACCAAAGCUUUUGGGCUCCGGGGGAAGUAUGGUUGCAAAGCUGAAACUUAAAGGAAUUGACGGAAGGGCACCACCAGGAGUGGAGCCUGCGGCUUAAUUUGACUCAACACGGGAAAACUUACCAGGUCCGAACAUAAGUGUGUAAGACAGAUUGAUAGCUCU
Molecule: ribosomal RNA, 1107 nt
Filed under: Drosophila elegans
Lineage: Eukaryota; Metazoa; Arthropoda; Insecta; Diptera; Drosophilidae
Description: SSU rRNA
Rfam family: Eukaryotic small subunit ribosomal RNA
Source: RNAcentral